CCUGUGACGUGCGGCGUUUAACGGCUGCGGUAACCUGACCGUGCAAAGGUAGCAUAAUAAUUUGCCUUCUAAUUAAAGGCCAGUAUGAAUGGAUUUACGCAAGCCCUUCUGUCUCUUUUAUAUAUUUUUAAAUUAAUCUUUAGGUGAAUAAACCUAAAUAACUUUGAAAGACAAGAAGACCCUGCAGAGCUUUACUUAUAAACUAAAAUAUUAAUAAAAUUCAUUAAACUAUUAGUUUUUCUGUUAUUAUGUUUUGUUGGGGCAACAAAGGAAUAAACCUAACUUCCUAAAUAAAUAUAAAAUUUUCAAAUUUUUUAAUUUUGACCCUUUAAAAAGCAAAUCGGCAUAAGCUACCUCAGGGAUAACAGACUAAUCUAAUUUUUGAGCCCUUAUCGGAAACUAGGUUUAGGACCUCGAUGUUGGCUUAGGGUACCCCAAGAUGGUGCAGGCGCCCUUUACGGUAGGUUUGUUCAACCUAUAAAACCCUACGUGAUCUGAGUCAGACCGGA
Molecule: ribosomal RNA, 509 nt
Filed under: Cossuridae sp. A ZW-2021
Lineage: Eukaryota; Metazoa; Annelida; Polychaeta; Cossuridae
Description: partial large subunit ribosomal RNA
Rfam family: Archaeal large subunit ribosomal RNA
Source: RNAcentral